CGGACCUCAGAUCGGGCAAGANCACCCGCUGAGUUUAAGCAUAUCACUAAG
This 51-nucleotide ribosomal RNA is filed under the name Phaeolejeunea amicorum. RNAcentral describes it as "Phaeolejeunea etesseana subsp. amicorum partial 26S ribosomal RNA". Lineage: Eukaryota; Viridiplantae; Streptophyta; Jungermanniopsida; Porellales; Lejeuneaceae. The record is from RNAcentral.